This 85-nucleotide transfer RNA is filed under the name Felis catus (domestic cat). It matches the Rfam family "tRNA". From Rfam's summary of the family: Transfer RNA (tRNA) molecules are approximately 80 nucleotides in length. Lineage: Eukaryota; Metazoa; Chordata; Mammalia; Carnivora; Felidae. The record is from Rfam by way of RNAcentral.
GCCUGGGUAGCUCAGUCAGUUAAGCGUCUGACUUCAGCUCAGGUGAUAAACUCAUGAUUCGUGGGUUCGAGCCCCGCGUUGGGCC